UCCCUGAUGGUCUAGUGGCUAAAACUCUUUACUCCUAAUACAGGGAGCUGGGGUUCAAUCCCUGGUCAGGGAA
Molecule: transfer RNA, 73 nt
Filed under: Ovis aries (sheep)
Lineage: Eukaryota; Metazoa; Chordata; Mammalia; Artiodactyla; Bovidae
Rfam family: tRNA
About the family: Transfer RNA (tRNA) molecules are approximately 80 nucleotides in length. Their secondary structure includes four short double-helical elements and three loops (D, anti-codon, and T loops).
Source: Rfam by way of RNAcentral